RNAcentral lists this ribosomal RNA (2933 nucleotides) under Escherichia coli. RNAcentral describes it as "bacterial LSU rRNA". It matches the Rfam family "Bacterial large subunit ribosomal RNA". The record is from RNAcentral. Lineage: Bacteria; Pseudomonadati; Pseudomonadota; Gammaproteobacteria; Enterobacterales; Enterobacteriaceae.
GGGUUGUGAGGUUAAGCGACUAAGCGUACACGGUGGAUGCCCUGGCAGUCAGAGGCGAUGAAGGACGUGCUAAUCUGCGAUAAGCGUCGGUAAGGUGAUAUGAACCGUUAUAACCGGCGAUUUCCGAAUGGGGAAACCCAGUGUGAUUCGUCACACUAUCAUUAACUGAAUCCAUAGGUUAAUGAGGCGAACCGGGGGAACUGAAACAUCUAAGUACCCCGAGGAAAAGAAAUCAACCGAGAUUCCCCCAGUAGCGGCGAGCGAACGGGGAGCAGCCCAGAGCCUGAAUCAGUGUGUGUGUUAGUGGAAGCGUCUGGAAAGGCGUGCGAUACAGGGUGACAGCCCCGUACACAAAAAUGCACAUACUGUGAGCUCGAUGAGUAGGGCGGGACACGUGGUAUCCUGUCUGAAUAUGGGGGGACCAUCCUCCAAGGCUAAAUACUCCUGACUGACCGAUAGUGAACCAGUACCGUGAGGGAAAGGCGAAAAGAACCCCGGCGAGGGGAGUGAAAAAGAACCUGAAACCGUGUACGUACAAGCAGUGGGAGCACAGAGCAAUCUGUGUGACUGCGUACCUUUUGUAUAAUGGGUCAGCGACUUAUAUUCUGUAGCAAGGUUAACCGAAUAGGGGAGCCGAAGGGAAACCGAGUCUUAACUGGGCGUUAAGUUGCAGGGUAUAGACCCGAAACCCGGUGAUCUAGCCAUGGGCAGGUUGAAGGUUGGGUAACACUAACUGGAGGACCGAACCGACUAAUGUUGAAAAAUUAGCGGAUGACUUGUGGCUGGGGGUGAAAGGCCAAUCAAACCGGGAGAUAGCUGGUUCUCCCCGAAAGCUAUUUAGGUAGCGCCUCGUGAAUUCAUCUCCGGGGGUAGAGCACUGUUUCGGCAAGGGGGUCAUCCCGACUUACCAACCCGAUGCAAACUGCGAAUACCGGAGAAUGUUAUCACGGGAGACACACGGCGGGUGCUAACGUCCGUCGUGAAGAGGGAAACAACCCAGACCGCCAGCUAAGGUCCCAAAGUCAUGGUUAAGUGGGAAACGAUGUGGGAAGGCCCAGACAGCCAGGAUGUUGGCUUAGAAGCAGCCAUCAUUUAAAGAAAGCGUAAUAGCUCACUGGUCGAGUCGGCCUGCGCGGAAGAUGUAACGGGGCUAAACCAUGCACCGAAGCUGCGGCAGCGACGCUUAUGCGUUGUUGGGUAGGGGAGCGUUCUGUAAGCCUGCGAAGGUGUGCUGUGAGGCAUGCUGGAGGUAUCAGAAGUGCGAAUGCUGACAUAAGUAACGAUAAAGCGGGUGAAAAGCCCGCUCGCCGGAAGACCAAGGGUUCCUGUCCAACGUUAAUCGGGGCAGGGUGAGUCGACCCCUAAGGCGAGGCCGAAAGGCGUAGUCGAUGGGAAACAGGUUAAUAUUCCUGUACUUGGUGUUACUGCGAAGGGGGGACGGAGAAGGCUAUGUUGGCCGGGCGACGGUUGUCCCGGUUUAAGCGUGUAGGCUGGUUUUCCAGGCAAAUCCGGAAAAUCAAGGCUGAGGCGUGAUGACGAGGCACUACGGUGCUGAAGCAACAAAUGCCCUGCUUCCAGGAAAAGCCUCUAAGCAUCAGGUAACAUCAAAUCGUACCCCAAACCGACACAGGUGGUCAGGUAGAGAAUACCAAGGCGCUUGAGAGAACUCGGGUGAAGGAACUAGGCAAAAUGGUGCCGUAACUUCGGGAGAAGGCACGCUGAUAUGUAGGUGAAGUCCCUCGCGGAUGGAGCUGAAAUCAGUCGAAGAUACCAGCUGGCUGCAACUGUUUAUUAAAAACACAGCACUGUGCAAACACGAAAGUGGACGUAUACGGUGUGACGCCUGCCCGGUGCCGGAAGGUUAAUUGAUGGGGUCAGCGCAAGCGAAGCUCUUGAUCGAAGCCCCGGUAAACGGCGGCCGUAACUAUAACGGUCCUAAGGUAGCGAAAUUCCUUGUCGGGUAAGUUCCGACCUGCACGAAUGGCGUAAUGAUGGCCAGGCUGUCUCCACCCGAGACUCAGUGAAAUUGAACUCGCUGUGAAGAUGCAGUGUACCCGCGGCAAGACGGAAAGACCCCGUGAACCUUUACUAUAGCUUGACACUGAACAUUGAGCCUUGAUGUGUAGGAUAGGUGGGAGGCUUUGAAGUGUGGACGCCAGUCUGCAUGGAGCCGACCUUGAAAUACCACCCUUUAAUGUUUGAUGUUCUAACGUUGACCCGUAAUCCGGGUUGCGGACAGUGUCUGGUGGGUAGUUUGACUGGGGCGGUCUCCUCCUAAAGAGUAACGGAGGAGCACGAAGGUUGGCUAAUCCUGGUCGGACAUCAGGAGGUUAGUGCAAUGGCAUAAGCCAGCUUGACUGCGAGCGUGACGGCGCGAGCAGGUGCGAAAGCAGGUCAUAGUGAUCCGGUGGUUCUGAAUGGAAGGGCCAUCGCUCAACGGAUAAAAGGUACUCCGGGGAUAACAGGCUGAUACCGCCCAAGAGUUCAUAUCGACGGCGGUGUUUGGCACCUCGAUGUCGGCUCAUCACAUCCUGGGGCUGAAGUAGGUCCCAAGGGUAUGGCUGUUCGCCAUUUAAAGUGGUACGCGAGCUGGGUUUAGAACGUCGUGAGACAGUUCGGUCCCUAUCUGCCGUGGGCGCUGGAGAACUGAGGGGGGCUGCUCCUAGUACGAGAGGACCGGAGUGGACGCAUCACUGGUGUUCGGGUUGUCAUGCCAAUGGCACUGCCCGGUAGCUAAAUGCGGAAGAGAUAAGUGCUGAAAGCAUCUAAGCACGAAACUUGCCCCGAGAUGAGUUCUCCCUGACUCCUUGAGAGUCCUGAAGGAACGUUGAAGACGACGACGUUGAUAGGCCGGGUGUGUAAGCGCAGCGAUGCGUUGAGCUAACCGGUACUAAUGAACCGUGAGGCUUAACCUUACAACGCCGAAGGUGUUU